This is a long non-coding RNA of Solanum tuberosum (potato), 259 nucleotides long. RefSeq lists it as uncharacterized. Lineage: Eukaryota; Viridiplantae; Streptophyta; Magnoliopsida; Solanales; Solanaceae. The record is from RefSeq and is a predicted model, not a curated record. The transcript has 3 exons.
UGAUACAAAAGCCAGCCCUUCUUUACUGCAAUACUCAAAAUACAACGUAUGGUUGUCAUCUUAAUCACAGGGUAAAGCCUUCUUUCCGGGAGGAAGGGAAACUACUUCCCAGGUGGAGUUAGAUUCAAGGGCUUCAAGUUCUUGCUGCAUAGCUAAUGUCCAACCUGGAUGGAUAGCUGCUUGUUGGUGCUGGAUUGUGCACAACAGGGUUGUAUCUGGUUGAGGAGCUAGAUCCAGGUGUAGUGAACUUGUUAGCGGA